UUAUCUUGUAGUUUAAUAUAAAAUAUUAGCAUUGGAAGCUAAAGAUCGUGAAAAAUCACACAGAUAGA
Molecule: transfer RNA, 68 nt
Filed under: Dendropoma petraeum
Lineage: Eukaryota; Metazoa; Mollusca; Gastropoda; Littorinimorpha; Vermetidae
Description: tRNA-Pro
Source: RNAcentral